GCAUAUCAAUAAGCGGAGGAAAAGAAACCAACAGGGAUUGCCCCCAGUAACGGCGAAGUGAAGCGGCAACAGCUCAAAUUUGAAAUCUGGCCUUCGGGUCCGAGUUGUAAUUUGUAGAGGAUGCUUUUGGCGAGGUGCCUUCCGAGUUCCCUGGAACGGGACGCCAUAGAGGGUGAGAGCCCCGUCUGGUCGGAUACCAAGCCUCUGUAAAGCUCCUUCGACGAGUCGAGUAGUUUGGGAAUGCUGCUCAAAAUGGGAGGUAUAUGUCUUCUAAAGCUAAAUAUUGGCCAGAGACCGAUAGCGCACAAGUAGAGUGAUCGAAAGAUGAAAAGCACUUUGAAAAGAGGGUUAAAAAGUACGUGAAAUUGUUGAAAGGGAAGCGCCUAUGACCAGACUUGGGCCCGGUGAAUCAUCCAGCGUUCUCGCUGGUGCACUUUGCCGGGCACAGGCCAGCAUCAGUUUGGCGCGGGGGAUAAAGGCUUUGGGAAUGUGGCUCCCUCGGGAGUGUUAUAACCCAUUGCGCAAUACCCUGCGCCGGACUGAGGUACGCGCAUCGCAAGGAUGCUGGCGUAAUGGUCAUCAGCGACCCGUCUUGAAACACGGACCAAGGAGUCGUCUUCGUAUGCGAGUGUUCGGGUGUCAAACCCCUACGCGUAAUGAAAGUGAACGCAGGUGAGAGCUUCGGCGCAUCAUCGACCGAUCCUGAUGUUCUCGGAUGGAUUUGAGUAAGAGCAUACGGGGCCGGACCCGAAAGAAGGUGAACUAUGCCUGUAUAGGGUGAAGCCAGAGGAAAACUCUGGUGGAGGCUCGCAGCGGUUUCUGACGUGCGAAUCGAUCGUCAAAUAAUGGGCAUGGGGGGCGAAAGACUAAUCGAACCUUCUAGUAGCUGGGUUUCCGCCGA
RNAcentral lists this ribosomal RNA (901 nucleotides) under Paracorniculantispora psalliotae. Its description in RNAcentral is "LSU rRNA". It matches the Rfam family "Eukaryotic large subunit ribosomal RNA", at positions 38 to 964 of the family's 3401-position model. Lineage: Eukaryota; Fungi; Ascomycota; Sordariomycetes; Hypocreales; Cordycipitaceae. The record is from RNAcentral.